GUAGGGAAUCUUCCACAAUGGACGCAAGUCUGAUGGAGCAACGCCGCGUGAGUGAUGAAGGGUUUCGGCUCGUAAAACUCUGUUGUUGGAGAAGAACGGGUGUCAGAGUAACUGUUGACAUCGUGACGGUAUCCAACCAGAAAGCCACGGCUAACUACGUGCCAGCAGCCGCGGUA
This 176-nucleotide ribosomal RNA is filed under the name Lactobacillus sp. L376. RNAcentral's name for it is "partial 16S ribosomal RNA". It matches the Rfam family "Bacterial small subunit ribosomal RNA", at positions 354 to 522 of the family's 1533-position model. Lineage: Bacteria; Bacillati; Bacillota; Bacilli; Lactobacillales; Lactobacillaceae. The record is from RNAcentral.